AAAUAAUGAUUGAGCAGCACCUGGAAUGAGGUAGUACUUUCGCGGCUUUUUCAGGUGGAUGAGCUUGAACUAAUACACCCUAUUAUAAUUUUACAAAUUUUCUCGCCAUUGUAACAAGCAUACAAUUCAUGGGGAAGUCAAGAAAUGGAUCAAAUAGAAGAAGGCAAAGGAACUAAGAAAGAGUGUCUUGAGAAGGGGCUUUGAGGGAC
This 209-nucleotide long non-coding RNA is filed under the name Spirodela polyrhiza (greater duckweed). RNAcentral describes it as "long non-coding RNA (SPOL_LNC002691)". Lineage: Eukaryota; Viridiplantae; Streptophyta; Magnoliopsida; Alismatales; Araceae. The record is from RNAcentral.